RNAcentral lists this ribosomal RNA (325 nucleotides) under uncultured eukaryote. Its description in RNAcentral is "partial 18S ribosomal RNA". It matches the Rfam family "Eukaryotic small subunit ribosomal RNA", at positions 1470 to 1796 of the family's 1831-position model. The record is from RNAcentral.
CCCUUAGAUGUCCUGGGCCGCACGCGCGCUACACUGAUACAUUCAACGAGUUUUACCUUGGCCGAGAGGCCUGGGCAAUCUUUUAAACCUGCAUCGUGAUAGGGAUAGAUUAUUGCAAUUAUUAAUCUUGAACGAGGAAUUCCUAGUAAACGCAGAUCAUCAAUCUGCAUUGAUUACGUCCCUGCCCUUUGUACACACCGCCCGUCGCACCUACCGAUUGAAUGGUCCGGUGAAGCCUCGGGAUUGUGGCCAGUUCACUUUAUUGGGAGUUGGCUGCGAGAACUUGUCUAAACCUUAUCAUUUAGAGGAAGGUGAAGUCGUAACA